Long non-coding RNA from Talpa occidentalis (Iberian mole), 1765 nucleotides. RefSeq lists it as uncharacterized. Lineage: Eukaryota; Metazoa; Chordata; Mammalia; Eulipotyphla; Talpidae. The transcript is spliced from 3 exons. The record is from RefSeq and is a predicted model, not a curated record.
CCUCUGGCGCGCAAGCGCAAACCUAGAGGGCGGAAGUGUGUGACCUCACCCGCCUGCGCACUUCCUCCUUCCGGCCCUGGCCUCCGUUGGGCUUGGUUGUGCAGUUGGCAAAGGGAAGGGGCUGAGCCAGGGGAGUGUAGCGCUUUUUUUGGUUUAGAUGCUGCUCAUAACAGCUGUGCGGCGUGGGGAAGCACUGUGCGGAAAGGCAAAUUACGGUAAAAGUAGGUCCCAACUCUACACAUGGCCAGCUAAUUUAUCUCGCCUUCUGAACCUGUUAGCUCAGCUCAGAAAUGGAGGCCAUCGUAUGUCUUAGAAUAAUACCAGCUUCUUGGAUUGCUGUGAAGAGUAAGUGAGAUCGUUUAUGACACACUUUGUAAACGCAAGUAAACCAUUUAAGUGUGACCAGGUGCCAGAGGUGAGAGCAUUCACCAGAGACAGAGUGGGGAGCAGAAGAGGCAGAUGGACUGAAAAACAUUGCUGAGAGGAGCAUCAGAAGCAUGUUGUCCUUGUCAGCAGGACAUUGCACAGGCCAUUCCUUCUGCCUGGAGCCCUCUUCAGUCUCCCAUCCCCCAUCAACCUCAGCACGUACUCAUACACACUUUUCUCUGGGCAACUUCUACUCAUCCUCUGUGUUCCAGCUUUUGGGUCCCUUUCUCCUUGGUCAGCAUUAAAUGUUCCUAUUACAUGUUCUUAUAACGUUCAAUGCAUCUAUUAUGGUAGACACUCUAUCGUAGUAGUAUUCUGUGUUCCCCAGAAAGAGACAUUGGAAAGAAAAACGUCAAAUUCAGGCCAAUGACUUUCCUGUUUUUGUUUUUGUUACUUUCCCCGGGUAUUGCUGGUGAAGAGAAGAAUAUGAAUGCUGCUUUCACUCACAUUCUGUGACAGCACAAACAGGAGCAUUGUGACUCAUGGCUUGUGCAGGACUGCUUAUGGCCAAGUGUAACAGGCCUGUGUAUUGGAUUUCAGGUCCUACUAGUGAGAAAAUUCAUAUGACAUGCUUUUCUCACCCCACCCCCAGCUGUGUCGCUUGCACUGAGCAGGAGUUCCAAAAUAACACUCCACCUUCCAGCUAUCUCUUUGCCUUCAUCAAUGAGCACAAGCCCUUCAGUUUACAUUCAAGGAGAAGUGCCUUACACUGUUUAGCUGUUUUGAUGAAGCAUUGGGAACUUGGCAGAGAGAGGUCUUAGAGGAAGACGCUUGUGUGCCCUUUGGUACUGAGGGUGGGAUUUCAUUCCUAAAAUGAGAAGGGUCACAAGCUGGAGCAGCCAGUUUAAACUUUGUAGAUUAACACUAGCAACAUUAUCUCCAGGGCCCAUGGGACAGUGUAGCCCAGACUUGGAACAGGACCUGUUAUUGUUAUUCUCCUUUUGAUCCCAGAUCUAUUUUAACUCACACACCGUCACUUCCUACCAAACAAUUCAUUUUACAGCAAAAGAAAUGUGGCAGUGGGCUCACGUUUGCCCUUGGACCUCGCUGGUUUCAUCACCUUACUUAUUGGGCAAGGCAGUCAAAAGAAUAUACCUCCAAACUGACCCUGAAGCUGGAACUAGGCUCCAUAAGGCUACUUAGCCACCUCCCCUGGCGUGUGAGUUCCCAGAAGCUGCUCCAUGGGUUCUGCCUUGAGAGUGUUAGCAUGGAACCAAGGGGCACCUAGGGACCCCAAACUAUCAAGUUCUGCCUUCUCUGAAAGGCAUUAGACCAUCUACACACACAAAGAUAAAAGAAAAGAAACAUACUCUUGGGCCUCCCCCGUGGCACAGUGGUU